RNAcentral lists this ribosomal RNA (468 nucleotides) under Triticum aestivum (bread wheat). RNAcentral describes it as "partial small subunit ribosomal RNA". Lineage: Eukaryota; Viridiplantae; Streptophyta; Magnoliopsida; Poales; Poaceae. The record is from RNAcentral.
AUGGGUUUUGUCAAACUUAAUGUGGAUGCAUCUUUUGAUCAUGACUUGCUUAAGGGCACGGCUGGUGCUGUUCUCACAGAUGAUAAAGGAAUCUUCAUUGCUGGCGGAAAUUGGAAGAUUGAUUGGUGUGUUGAUGCCCUGACAGCAGAAGCUUUGGCUUUAAGGUUCGGACUAUCUCUCGCACAUAAGGCGGGUUGCAAUCGCCUUGUCAUUAAUUCUGACAAUAUGGAAGUCAUUGAUACCAUGAAGAAUGGAGGACGUUCAGCAGCGGCAGUGUUUGAUGAUUGUUAUUUUUUAGCGUGUGAUUUUCCUCUUACUAAUUUUGAGCAUUGUAAUAGGGAAGCGAAUAAGGUAGCUCAUGAGCUUGCCAGACUAGCUAAAUUUUCUGAGACAACGGAAUGGUUUGAGGAGCCUUUGGUCGAAAUUGUACAACCUCUAAUAGACGAUGUAACUGUUAUUUCUAAUUAA